AUACGUAGGGGGCGAGCGUUGUCCGGAAUGAUUGGGCGUAAAGGGCGCGUAGGCGGCCCGGUAAGUCUGGAGUGAAAGUCCUGUUUUUAAGAUGGGAAUUGCUUUGGAUACUGUCGGGCUUGAGUGCAGGAGAGGUAAGUGGAAUUCCCAGUGUAGCGGUGAAAUGCGUAGAGAUUGGGAGGAGCACCAGUGGCGAAGGCGACUUACUGGACUGUAACUGACGCUGAGGCGCGAAAGUGUGGGGAGCGAACAGGAUUAGAUACCCUGGUAGUCCACACCGUAAACGAUGAAUGCUAGGUGUAGGGGGUAUCGACCCCUUCUGUGCCGCAGUCAACACAAUAAGCAUUCCGUCUGGGGAGUACGGCCGCAAGGUUGAAACUCAAAGGAAUUGACGGGG
RNAcentral lists this ribosomal RNA (397 nucleotides) under uncultured bacterium. RNAcentral describes it as "partial 16S ribosomal RNA". It matches the Rfam family "Bacterial small subunit ribosomal RNA", at positions 523 to 918 of the family's 1533-position model. The record is from RNAcentral.